CACGUAGGCACCAAGCGUUGUCCGGAUUUAUUGGGCGUAAAGAGCUCGUAGGCGGUUCGGUAAGUCGGGUGUGAAAACUUUGGGCUCAACCCAAAGCCUGCACCCGAUACUGCUGUGACUUGAGUCCGGUAGGGGAGUGGGGAAUUCCUGGUGUAGCGGUGGAAUGCGCAGAUAUCAGGAGGAACACCGGUGGCGAAGGCGGGUCUCUGGGCCGAUACUGACGCUGAGGAGCGAAAGCGUGGGGAGCGAACAGG
RNAcentral lists this ribosomal RNA (254 nucleotides) under uncultured bacterium. RNAcentral's name for it is "partial 16S ribosomal RNA". It matches the Rfam family "Bacterial small subunit ribosomal RNA", at positions 524 to 776 of the family's 1533-position model. The record is from RNAcentral.